UACUUGCGCGGCGCUAUAGCGCCUCGCUAGUGGGCCCCCGCGCGAAACCCGCACUAGGCCACUAGAUC
The sequence is a regulatory RNA element, 68 nucleotides long. It matches the Rfam family "Rubella virus 3' cis-acting element". Rfam says of the family: This family contains three conserved step loop structures. The record is from Rfam.